GUCCCAGACUCCUACGGGAGGCAGCAGUGGGGAAUAUUGCACAAUGGGGGAAACCCUGAUGCAGCGACGCCGCGUGAAGGACGAAGGAUUUCGGUACGUAAACUUCUAUCAGCAGGGAAGAAAAUGACGGUACCUGACCAAGAAGCCCCGGCUAACUACGUGCCAGCAGCCGCGGCAAUACGUAGGGGGCAAGCGUUAUCCGGAUUUACUGGGUGUAAAGGGAGCGUAGACGGCCAUGCAAGUCUGAUGUGAAAACCCGGGGCUCAACCCCGGGACUGCAGUGGAAACUGUGCGGCUGGAGUGUCGGAGAGGCAAGUGGAAUUCCUAGUGUAGCGGUGAAAUGCGUAGAUAUUAGGAGGAACACCAGUGGCGAAGGCGGCCUGCUGGACAGUAACUGACGUUGAGGCUCGAAAGCGUGGGGAGCAAACAGGAUUAGAUACCCCGGUACU
This 449-nucleotide ribosomal RNA is filed under the name uncultured bacterium. RNAcentral's name for it is "bacterial SSU rRNA". It matches the Rfam family "Bacterial small subunit ribosomal RNA", at positions 328 to 794 of the family's 1533-position model. The record is from RNAcentral.